AUUUCAACCCUCAAGCCCCAGCGGCUUGGUGUUGGGGACCGGCCCCGGCCGCCCCCCAAAUGCAGUGGCGACCUCGCCGCAGCCUCCCCUGCGUAGUAGCACAACUCGCACCGGAGCGCGGAGACGGUCACGUCGUAAAACGCCCAACUUCUCAGAGUUGACCUCGGAUCAGGUAGGAAUACCCUGUGAACUUAA
RNAcentral lists this small RNA (195 nucleotides) under Tolypocladium inflatum. The record is from RNAcentral. Lineage: Eukaryota; Fungi; Ascomycota; Sordariomycetes; Hypocreales; Ophiocordycipitaceae.